This 321-nucleotide long non-coding RNA is filed under the name Phoenix dactylifera (date palm). RNAcentral describes it as "long non-coding RNA (PDAC_LNC007263)". The record is from RNAcentral. Lineage: Eukaryota; Viridiplantae; Streptophyta; Magnoliopsida; Arecales; Arecaceae.
ACCGACCGAGUUCGUUGUGAGCUCGUAAAACAACAAGUUUGGUUGUGAGCUUGGAAAACAACCGGCUGUAAUCCAAGGGGUUAUAGUGAAUUCCCAAGUGAGGCUUGGGGAGUGGACGUAGGAGCAAGGGUUAGCUCCGAACCACUAUAAACAUCGUGUUUGUGAUUGCUUGUCUCUCUUUCUCUCAUUCUCAUUUCACUCAAAACACAUAGCAACUAAUUAAUCACCUUGCAAAAGUAUUAAUUAGUCAUCUACAAAAGUUUUAAUUGUAAAAUUAUUUUAAAACCCAAUUCACCCCCCCUCUUGGGUUGUCUAUCUGGG